GGACGCUCCUCACCCUCUGGCCCAGCUCCAGGCACCGAGGCUGGGCAAGAGGAGGGAGGAGGAGCCCCCAGGAAGACGUGGAUCUUGGGCCGGUCACACAUAGCGUCUGCCGAGGAGGAAAAUUAUGGAAGUUUAUUCAGGCUGUGCACUGACUCAACGCUCUGAGAGAGAAGCCUGGGCUGACACCAACCAGACUCCACAGGUCACGGUGAGGAGGAUCAACAUGCAUCCGUCAUGCCGACGGAUGCAGACGACCGACCAGUGUGUUUCACAGCUGGGAGCUAAAACCAGGCAGAGCCGCUGACCAAUCAGACGGCAGGCUGCUGGGGGAGGAUCAGCUGGUAUGGGACUUCUUCUGUUACAUAAUCAUUUAAAGUCAUUAUUAAAGAUGGUUGUGAUAUUUAAAUAAAACACAUAUAUGAACAAAACACAUAAAGAGCAAUAUCAGACUUGAAUUGAGAAAAAUUUAAGUUGAUUAUAAUAUUUAAUCAUAUUCUCCAGGUGCUUUUCCAGAUAGGCUACUUCAUAUAUAUCUUACUGAUAUUACUGGGCAGAAACCGGCCUCCAUAUUUAUCUAAAUUACUUCUAAAACACAGUGAAGUUUAUGAGAUGUGACUUCGUGGUGUGAGCCACUGAGACACAGACAGACGAUAUAAAUGUGUCAUUUAAUGACCGAGGACUCUAAAUUUAGACAAGAAGACAUUUAAAACCGCCUCAUUACACGCACACACACACACACACACACACACACACACACACACACACACACGCACACACACACACGAUGCUUCCUAAUGUGACUUUAUUUUUAGAUUAGAUUAAUUCCCAUUAGUUCCCCUACUACCACACUGUUUAUAUUGAUAAUAAUGAUAAUAAUAAUGAUAAUGAUAAUAAUGAUAAUAAUGAUAAUAAUGAUAAUGAUUAUAAUAAUAUUAUGUUUCAUACUGUUUAUAAUAAACUUUAUUGGCUGAGUCAGAUAUUUUGAUUUGGAAGAAGCGCGCUCCCGAGGCGCUGACGGGAACCCGCAUGUAAAAAGAAUUUGGUUUCAAAAUAAAAGCGAUAACUAUAUGUGUUUAUGUAUAGACGUUUAAAAUGACUAAUAGGCCACUAUAGAAAUAAGUAAUAUUAAUUUAAAGUGUAUUCAUCCUGCGUCAUGCUCCAGUUUUAUGCAUUAAAACUUAUUUGUGUUACAUGCUAUUAAUAGAUUGUUUUAUUCAAUUUUGAUUUUUUUGUGUUUGUCCCACGUUGGAUUGAAUCUGUGUUUUUCUUUUCUUUUUGUUGAAUAUUUCGACGUGUGAUCUGUGUAUGUUGCUUACUUUGACGAUUAGGAAUGGCAGAAUCAAAUAAACCAAAUAAAAACUGGUAUUUAAUAGGCUGACAUUAGACUGUAGUUUGUCCAUUUUGCUCCACAGUUACUCAGAUGUGUCUACAGGUUUUCUUUAUUUAUUUAUUUCAUGAACAAUCAAAGAAGUUAAUUUACAUAUAAUUUACGACUGUAUGUUAUUUUAUAUUAUUUAUUUAUUCUUUUCAUUCCACUGUAUCAGUCGGCUUCUCAACCUCACAUCGGUUACACUUCUUUUCUCUAUUUUUCUGUUUUUUUUCAGAGUCGUAUAUACAGAAUUCAAGACAGUCCAGAGUCCAAGUCCCCCAAAACCCCAUAAAUAAAAUGUAAUUUAUUAUUAAAGAACUUUACAAUUACUGUCUACCACAAAUAUAUGUUAUUUAUUUUAAAUAUGAUAUAUGUUACAUUUUAUCGCUAUUUAUCUUAACUUUUUUAUUCUAUUUCAUAGAUUUUCAUUGCCAAAGACUGUAACUGUUAUGCACAUGA
This is a long non-coding RNA of Sebastes umbrosus (honeycomb rockfish), 1828 nucleotides long. RefSeq lists it as uncharacterized. The transcript is spliced from 3 exons. Lineage: Eukaryota; Metazoa; Chordata; Actinopteri; Perciformes; Sebastidae. The record is from RefSeq and is a predicted model, not a curated record.